UUUAUUUUAUUAACCGUCCGAUCAAAUGAUCGGACGACCGAGAUCAAACAAGACUUUUCAACAUAGACUCUACCACCACAACCCUAUACGCUCGUAACCUUCUUCCCCAAAAGAAAAAAAACAACAACGCUCUCUUCACCUUUCUAGACGCCCAGAGCUCCGGUCUCUACCAUCGUUGCCCACCUUCUCCCUCAUACUAAUCUCUACGAUAGCUGCACCAUCGCCUAUGGCUACCAAGACGUCCUCUCCCAUCAAUUCGUCAGACCUGAUCCAACUAGUUAGCUUCCUCCUCAGACGCUCCAAGCUACUCUCCCAUGGCCACCCCACGUGAUUCCUCAUCCCCUUCAACAGAAACGGCUCUGGGCCGCCGGAAAAUGGUACAUCAGUCACUUCAACCUCUCAAAUCGAUCAGAAAAGGCAAUUCUUCAGAGAUUUUUCUUCUGCCUCAUUUUAUUUUCUCUGUUCAAACUUGGCUUCCCAAGAAUUCAAAAAUUUUGAAUUCUAGGUCAAUAGAGGUUAUGAUUUUUGCUAUAAAAGGGUACCAUUUGAUCCUUAGAAGGGAAAAAAAUAUACAAAAAUCAUCCAUAAAUAUCCAGAAUCCUUUAAGAUCGAUCUACAUCGAUGAACAUCCAAAAAACAAAUCUAAAAAUCGUCUGAGAAAUAGAUUUUAAGGUUAUCUUUUGUUUUCUGCUUCCGUUCUUCUUCGAGUCGUUGUUCGAGUUCAAAGUUGAAUCUUGACGUCAAAACCCUUGUUUGAUGCUCCACAAAAGGAUUGAUAUGGAUAGUGAUUUUUCCUGAAGAAUAUCCUUAAUCUAAAAAAUGCAUUAGCAAGUUCAAUAAUUAUCUGAUUUGUUAGCUAGCAAUUUGAUGUGCUUCGUGUAAUUGUGUUGUUCACAUUUUUCAAAGUAGAAUAAAUGUUAUCUCUCUUGCGUCUAAAUUCUUGAAUCUUGAUUAAGUUGCGGAAUUUUCCGUUUCCCUCUGAUUUACAUUAAAUUAAUGAAAAGUGUGGGACAUCUUAUACUUUGAUAUGAAUUAUAACACAAGUCGUCCUGUGAGUGAUAGCUUGUUUUCAGUUAAGGCGUGCCAAAAUUAAUACGAUGAAGUGGGUUGUGAAAUAUUCCUUGUCUAGUUUUAAUUGUAGUAGCUGUUCUUAUUGUUUCAUUCAAAUAACUGCCUAAGCUUAGUUCUUUAGCAUUUUAUGAACAUGUGAACAUUAGUUGGGUGUUAUAUAAUUUGUUUAUGAUCGUAAUGUGCUAAUAUCUUUAUUUGGUUUCACUAGAAUUUGUUUAGUUUGGUUGUUUCUCUCGUUUUUAGUAUGGUUUUCCUAUUAUUUAGUCCAUAAGAUAUGCAAUAGUCAUCAAUGUACGAUGUCCUGUUGUUAGCCCCAUUGUCUUUCAAAAGAAAUCUCAAAACCCCUUAGAGACUCCAUCUAGCAUUCCCUUAACACGAGUUGUACAGAUUACUUCUUGAAGAUUGUAGUCCUAUCUAAAUGAAUCCAUUUGGCUUUGAACUUGUCUGUUAGGAUCUUGUAGUGCUGGAAUUUUUGUCAAGUCGAAUAUGUCCAUUGUGUUAAUAAGUCGUCGUUCGUCUAAGUCUCCAUAAUAGCAUGCAUAUUUUCAUUUGAUAGUUGUCUAUUGUAAAAUCCUAACCUAUCUUGUUUUUUUCUACAUUGGUUAAAUUUAGAAACUUUAAAUAUUUUCCCUCUUUCCAUUGUGACUAGAAGCAUUCUCUGUUGCAUAAUACUUAGAAUCUGAUGUAGUCAAAGUUAGCUUCCCCUCUAUUGAUGGUCUAAGUUAUUUUUCGUUUUAGCAUCAUACAAAAUCUUAUGAACUUGUCUUGGGCACUACUAUCCUCAUAGUUGUUGAUUUCAACCAUCCUAUGAGAACCCGAGUUAGACUUGGGUUCUUCAACUACAAUUUUUUUCUUUAUUGAAGAUCUUGAAAUUUCUUCAGCCUUUCUUUUCUUAUUUUUAGAAGGCUUAGGAACAGAUCGUUUAACAAACCCACCUCUAGUUUUAGCCAUAACCAGAGUAAACCUAUAAUAAAACAUGCAAAAUAAAUAACAGAUACAACAGAACUCAACAAUGUGAUUGACAGAAAACGUCACUGAAGUCGAUCAAAGUUUAGGGGAUUGUAAUACCCCAUAAUUUUAGUUAAGGGUAAACGAGUCUUUAGUUAAAAAAAAGGAAAAGAAAAGAGACUGGGCUAAAAGCCCUUGGCAGCCACGCUGCAUUUUUUAGCAGAGAGAAAUGAAGAAAAAAAAUAGUUUCCUUCCUACGUUCAUCAUUGUUGUCGGUUCUCACUUGUUAGUUAUUUGUGUGAGUAGUAAUGGUAAAAAAGGAAAAGCAAAUGCAAGAACAAGCCAACAUCCUCAAGUUCCAUAUCACUGGAGAAAUUUGUUUCCACCAUGGCAAUUUAAUAGAUUUGGAAGAGAGAAGGAGCGAGGAAGAGAAUUGAUAAGCUUGGAUUCUUAAAUAAAGAAAGAAGCGGAAGAGGAAGGUAAGCUUCUGAACUUAGCUAUAGAUUUCAUCUGAAUUUCCCAUAGCUAUAGAACUGGGGUUGAGAGUUUGAGAAAUCGUGAUUUAAAAGAAAUAGAGGGAAUUGUCAAAUUCUCAUGAUUUGAAGGAGUGCACUAAUAAUUUGAACUAUAAACCUUGCUAUUCGGCAAAUAUGAAGUAAAAGUUGAUGGGCAGCAAGGUUAUGUUGGUUUAUUACAAUGUGAAAUUAAUCAAAGGGAGGUUGCUUUGUGUAAUUAAAGCACCAAUUAGGUGGUUGGUCAGAUUUUGAGUCAUUCAUGGAACUUCUAGGGCUGGGUGUUUUAAUUUAUUAUGAAAUAGCAUGUAUGACGAGGUUAAUACGAAAUUAGUAUGAAUGUGAUUAUAGAUUAACCAAAGGGAUUCAUACGGAUACUCAAGUGGCGAGCUUGGUAUUUUCAGCACAAGUAAUUGAUUACAAGAAGAAUAUGAAUGGGAGUAGACCUUGAUGAAUCCCGUAGCUGACGGCGGGAUCGUUAGACGUGGUGCACCUUGUAGUUAUUGAUUUUUGAUAAAGCCCUUGCUAGUGGGAUGUGGAACUAGUAUUCUGUUACUGAUAUCCCUCGAGUAGGGAUCUACUGAUAUGAAUAUUUAACUCCAUUACGAGGAUUUCACUAUUAUUGAUUACUUCUUAAAGAGAAGACCACUCUAAUUACAUGUAACGUCCUUGGAAACCUCCUAGAAAUAAGAUUUUAUAUGAAAAUGUUCUUUUAUUGAUUUUGCUAUUAUGUAUUUACACUGAUUAUGCUUAUAUGAGGCAUAUAAGAUUGAAAGAUCAUUAUUUCAUCAUUAUGA
Non-coding RNA from Solanum lycopersicum (tomato), 3328 nucleotides. Lineage: Eukaryota; Viridiplantae; Streptophyta; Magnoliopsida; Solanales; Solanaceae. The record is from RefSeq and is a predicted model, not a curated record.